Non-coding RNA from Parelaphostrongylus tenuis, 71 nucleotides. Lineage: Eukaryota; Metazoa; Nematoda; Chromadorea; Rhabditida; Metastrongylidae. The record is from the annotation of a GenBank genome assembly.
GCCUCUGUGGUAUAGUGGUAGCACGCAUCCCGGGUAUGGAUGAAACGUGGUUUCAACUCCUGUCUGAAGUU